CCUACGGGCGGCAGCAGUGGGGGAUAUUGCACAAUGGGGGGAACCCUGAUGCAGCGACGCCGCGUGAGUGAAGAAGUAUCUCGGUAUGUAAAGCUCUAUCAGCAGGGAAGAAGCAAGACGGUACCUGACUAAGAAGCCCCGCCUAACUACGUGCCAGCAGCCGCGGUAAUACGUAGGGGGCGAGCGUUAUCCGGAUUUACUGGGUGGAAAGGGUGCGUGGACGGCAUGGCACGUCUGAAGUGAAAGCCCUGGGCCCAACCCCGGGACUGUGCUGGAAACUGCCAUGCUAGAGUGCUGGAGAGGUAGGUGGAAGUCCUAGGGUAGCGGUGAAAUGCGUAGAUAUUAGGAGGAACACCAGUGGCGAAGGCGGCUUACUGGACAGUGACUGACGUUGAGGCUCGAAAGCGUGGGGAGCAAACAGGAUUAGAUACCCCAGUAGUC
RNAcentral lists this ribosomal RNA (441 nucleotides) under uncultured bacterium. Its description in RNAcentral is "partial 16S ribosomal RNA". It matches the Rfam family "Bacterial small subunit ribosomal RNA", at positions 338 to 795 of the family's 1533-position model. The record is from RNAcentral.